GAAUUUUGGACAAUGGGGGCAACCCUGAUCCAGCCAUCCCGCGUGUGCGAUGAAGGCCUUCGGGUUGUAAAGCACUUUUGGCAGGGAAGAAAAGGCUGUGGCUAAUACCUGGAGCUGCCGACGGUACCUGCCGAAAAAGCCACGCCUAACUACGUGCCAGCAGCCGCGGGAAUACGUAGGGUGCAAGCGUGAGUCGGAAUUACUGGGCGUAAAGCGUGCGCAGGCGGUUCGGCAAGAAGGAUGUGAAAUCCCAGGGCUUAACCUUGGAACUGCAUUCUUAACUGCCGGGCUAGAGUAUGUCAGAGGGGGGUAGAAUUCCGCGUGUAGCAGUGAAAUGCGUAGAGAUGCGGAGGAAUACCGAUGGCGAAGGCAGCCCCCUGGGAUGAUACUGACGCUCAUGCACGAAAGCGUGGGGAGCAAAC
Molecule: ribosomal RNA, 422 nt
Filed under: uncultured bacterium
Lineage: Bacteria
Description: partial 16S ribosomal RNA
Rfam family: Bacterial small subunit ribosomal RNA
Source: RNAcentral